AGUGAACGCUGGCGGUAGGCCUAACACAUGCAAGUCGAACGGCAGCACAGUAAGAGCUUGCUCUUACGGGUGGCGAGUGGCGGACGGGUGAGGAAUACAUCGGAAUCUACUUUUUCGUGGGGGAUAACGUAGGGAAACUUACGCUAAUACCGCAUACGACCUACGGGUGAAAGCAGGGGAUCUUCUGACCUUGCGCGAUUGAAUGAGCCGAUGUCGGAUUAGCUAGUUGGCGGGGUAAAGGCCCACCAAGGCGACGAUCCGUAGCUGGUCUGAGAGGAUGAUCAGCCACACUGGAACUGAGACACGGUCCAGACUCCUACAGGAGGCAGCAGUGGGGAAUAUUGGACAAUGGGCGAAAGCCUGAUCCAGCCAUACCGCGUGGGUGAAGAAGGCCUUCGGGUUGUAAAGCCCUUUUGUUGGGAAAGAAAAGCAGCAGGUUAAUACCCCGCUGUUCUGACGGUACCCAAAGAAUAAGCACCGGCUAACUUCGUG
Molecule: ribosomal RNA, 492 nt
Filed under: uncultured bacterium
Lineage: Bacteria
Description: partial 16S ribosomal RNA
Rfam family: Bacterial small subunit ribosomal RNA
Source: RNAcentral